Neltuma alba is the source of this 980-nucleotide long non-coding RNA. RefSeq lists it as uncharacterized. The transcript has 3 exons. Lineage: Eukaryota; Viridiplantae; Streptophyta; Magnoliopsida; Fabales; Fabaceae. The record is from RefSeq and is a predicted model, not a curated record.
AACAGCUAAAAGUUUAGCUUCGCUUGAAGACUUGACAGUUAGUAAUUGUGGAUCAAUGCGAGAAAUAGUGGCUAAAGAAGAAGAUGAGUCAGAUCAACAUGAGAUAGCAUUUGAGAAUCUGAAAAACUUGAAGCUCAAGUCUCUCCCAAGUCUUGACAGCUUUUGCACAGGGGCUUACCAUUUGAAAUUCACAUGCUUGGAACGAGUUUCAAUAUACAAUUGCUCCCAAAUGAAGGUUUUCUCUGAUGCUGAUAUAGACGCACCAGAUAAUGUGACUAUUGCUUCAAAUGGUGAUCUCAGAGACAUGAUAGAGAAGGCUUUUAAGAAGGCAACUUGAGUUAUCAAAAUUGAAACGUUUUGCGAUGUUGUUGGCAGUUGUUUCAGGAAAUCAUCUUUGGGUGCAAGACAGGUUCAUUCUGGUUCUGCUUCUCUCAUACUACUUUAAAGCCCAUUUGUUCAGUUGAGGUUAUUAGGAAUCGUCCGUGUGGUUUUCUGAUUUGGGUUAUUUAGAAACUGAAGACUGUUGUGCAUGGUGUUUGUGUUGCAGAUUGUAAGUUGUAAUUUUCUCCCAUCGCUUAUCAAGACCAGAAAACUUUUCCAAAUCCCAUUUGGAGGUUGUGCCAUUUGUAUUUAAAUCCGAGGCUACUUCGAAGCAACUAUUUGAAUCGCACCGAAUGACGUUGUUUAGCUUAAAAUAUCAUUUGCUUAUGCCAUCAACCAUGUCUUUCUGGUAGUUUAGUAGCUGAUGAAGUAUCAGAGGAUUCGUUCAGAACGUCCUCCCUCUGCUUCUUCCUCUGAAAUUCUGGUUUCUUUGAUUAUUUGAGAGACUUAGCUUCCUGCUUUCUCACUUUUGCUUGAGCCUUUGGUGUUUUGGUCAGUUGUGCCGCUUGAACUUUCAUUUAUCAGCAUUUCCUGUGACUCGAAGGAAGCUUGAUAAUCAUUCAAACUCAUUGUGCCAGGGUCUUUAAUUAGACUCUUCA